Molecule: ribosomal RNA, 229 nt
Filed under: uncultured bacterium
Lineage: Bacteria
Description: partial 16S ribosomal RNA
Rfam family: Bacterial small subunit ribosomal RNA
Source: RNAcentral
UGCGUAGGCGGAUUAAUAAGUCAGUGGUGAAAUCUCCCGGCUCAACCGGGAAACUGCCAUUGAUACUGUUAGUCUAGAGUUUAGAUGAAGUGGGCGGAAUGUAGCAUGUAGCGGUGAAAUGCUUAGAUAUGCUACAGAACACCGAUUGCGAAGGCAGCUCACUAAGCUAAAACUGACGCUCAUGCGCGAAAGCGUGGGGAUCAAACAGGAUUAGAUACCCUGGUAGUCC